Molecule: ribosomal RNA, 253 nt
Filed under: uncultured bacterium
Lineage: Bacteria
Description: partial 16S ribosomal RNA
Rfam family: Bacterial small subunit ribosomal RNA
Source: RNAcentral
UACGUAGGUGGCGAGCGUUGUCCGGAUUUAUUGGGCGUAAAGAGCGUGUAGGCGGCCAGAUAGGUCAGCUGUGAAAACUCGAGGCUCAACCUCGAGAUGUCGGCUGAAACCAUCUGGCUAGAGUCCGGAAGAGGAGAAUGGAAUUCCCGGUGUAGCGGUGAAAUGCGCAGAUAUCGGGAAGAACACCCGUGGCGAAGGCGGUUCUCUGGGACGGUACUGACGCUGAGACGCGAAAGCGUGGGGAGCGAACAGG